Long non-coding RNA from Musa acuminata AAA Group (dessert banana), 962 nucleotides. RefSeq lists it as uncharacterized. The record is from RefSeq and is a predicted model, not a curated record. NCBI's taxonomy places the organism in Eukaryota, Viridiplantae, Streptophyta, Magnoliopsida, Zingiberales, Musaceae. The transcript has 5 exons.
GAGUCUUCCAUGCCGCGGCCUCACUAACCCGUUGAGCACAAGGGCUCGGUGAUUCCGCAGUACACUGCCUCCCCUGCGACAGGUAGUAGAUUAGCAGCGCCGCUUUCACUUGUUUCCACCACAUUGGAGAGAAAGAGGAGAAGCAUUGGAUUCUUGCAAGAACAGGGGAGAUGGAUAUGGUGGCUGAUGAACGUCGUCACAUUAGAGCCGUGGUUAUCCUGGUUUUGUAAAAGAUGCUCAUGGAAAUGUCCUCACCGGAUUCCAAGUGCCCUUUUGGCUUUGUUGAAACAGCCAAUGUUGCAGUCCUCACUCAUCUAAUGGAGCUUACCAGGCUAUAUUAACUCUGUGUAAAAAAUAUUCCACCAUGUAUACGCAUUAGAGCUUCCUCCCUCCACAGGUUGGUCCUGCCAUUUUACAAUGUGCAAGCUCGUUCUUUGCGCGGUCGUUGUCAUCUAACAACACUGAUGUCUCUGAUGCUACCUGCAGCCAAGAUCGUCUUCAAGAUUUGAGCUUCACAGGUGGUGUUCUGGAGCUUUGUUUCAUGAGAAAAAGAUGAAUUAUUGUCCAGAACCCCAGAUUGGUAGCAGGAGAACAUCAAAUAGUUGGGACCUUCUGCUUGUCCUUGUUCCGAGGAUGCUGCUCCUGCAUGCUCUACUCGGUUCCAGCUUUGACACAUCAACUGUAAGAUCAACCAGGAAUGCUCCACAGGAUUCCUUGGUUCGGGUGUGCAGCUUCAUUCAGCUCCCCUGCGCUGGCCUUUGUCAUGUUGCACCGCAAUGAUGCGAGUGGAGACAGCUGCUCAAGGUCAUGUUUCAUGCGCAGUGGCAGCUGCCAUCCGCUCCGAUGUCCCUCUUAACCUGCAAUCAUCAACAGGUUAAUUAGUAUAGCAUGUGCUGUCUGUCCCAAUGUGAUCGUCUACCGCGCUCUAUUUGAGCCAAUAAUAGAUUAAACUUGUUAUAUUC